This 753-nucleotide ribosomal RNA is filed under the name uncultured rumen protozoa. RNAcentral describes it as "bacterial SSU rRNA". It matches the Rfam family "Eukaryotic small subunit ribosomal RNA", at positions 339 to 1210 of the family's 1831-position model. The record is from RNAcentral.
UUGGCUCCUGGCUUUCACGGGUACAGGGAUUAGGGUUCGAUUCUGGAGAAGGAGCCUGAGAACGGCUACUACAUCUACGGAAGGCAGCAGGCGCGUAAUUAAAUCUCUGACUCAGGGAGGUGGUGACAAGAUAUAACAACGCAAUUUCAUUGUGAUUGUAGUGAGGGUAUUCCAAACCGAACCACUAGUACGAUUAGAGGGCAAGUCUGGUGCCAGCAGCCGCGGUAAUUCCAGCUCUAAUAGCGUAUAUUAAAGUUGCUGCAGUUAAAAAGCUCGUAGUUGGAUUUCAAGGAUUGUGUACUCUCUCUAGGGUUUGCACCCUACUAGUCUUUGACUUGUUACUGUGAGAAAAUUAGAGUGUUUAAAGCACGCUAUUGCAAGAAUACAUUAGCAUGGAAUAACGAAUGUAUCUAGAAUCUUGGUUAAUCUAGGCUCGACACAGAGACACCGGGGGCAUUAGUAUUUAAUUGUCAGAGUGAAUUCUUGGAUUUGUUAACUACUAUCGUAUGCGAAGCAUUUGCCAAGGAUGUUUUCAUUAAUCCACCACCGACACACUACGCGAUCAAGACAAUCAGAUACUGUCGUAGUCCUAUCUAUAACUAUGCCGACUAGGGAUUGGAGUGGAAUAUUCACCAUUUCAGUACCUUAUGGAGAAAUCAAGUCUUUGGGUCCGGGGGGAGUAUGUCCCCAGACUGAAACUUAAGGAAUUGACGUGACCACAGGAAUGGGCUGCGGCUUAUUGACUCAACGGCA